UACAGAGGGUGCGAGCGUUAAUCGGAGUUACUGGGCGUAAAGGGCGCGUAGGCGGUUUGUUAAGUCAGUUGUGAAAGCCCAGGGCUCAACCUUGGAACUGCAAUUGAUACUGGCCGACUCGAGUCGAAGAGAGGGAAGCGGAAUUUCCGGUGUAGCGGUGAAAUGCGUAGAUAUCGGAAGGAACACCCGUGGCGAAGGCGGCUUCCUGGCUUCAGACUGACGCUGAGGCGCGAAAGCGUGGGUAGCGAACAGG
RNAcentral lists this ribosomal RNA (253 nucleotides) under uncultured bacterium. RNAcentral's name for it is "partial 16S ribosomal RNA". It matches the Rfam family "Bacterial small subunit ribosomal RNA", at positions 524 to 776 of the family's 1533-position model. The record is from RNAcentral.